GCUUUCGUGGUGUAGUGGUCAGCACACUCGGCGCGUUCGAGAGGUCCGAGGUUCAAGUCCCAGCGACGGCA
Molecule: transfer RNA, 71 nt
Filed under: Stegodyphus mimosarum
Lineage: Eukaryota; Metazoa; Arthropoda; Arachnida; Araneae; Eresidae
Rfam family: tRNA
About the family: Transfer RNA (tRNA) molecules are approximately 80 nucleotides in length. Their secondary structure includes four short double-helical elements and three loops (D, anti-codon, and T loops).
Source: Rfam by way of RNAcentral